UGGUGGUGGUAGUGUGAUGGUCUGGGGCUGUUUUGCUGCUUCUGCACCUGGAAGACUUGCUGUGAUAAAUGGAACCAUGAAUUCUACUGUCUACCAAAAAAUUCUGAAGGAGGAUGUCCGUCCGUCUGUUCAUGACCUCAAGUUAAAACGAACUCGGGUUCUGCAGCAGGACAAUGAUCCAAAACCCAACAGCAAGUCCACCUCUGAAUGGUCAAAUUAAAGUCCGGACCGGAAUCCUAUUGAGAUGCUGUGGCCUGACCCUUAAAAAGGCGGUUAAUGCUUGAAAACCCUCCAAUGUGCAAUCACUUUUUCACACGGGGUCAUGUAGGUUUGGAUUUUUUCCUCCCUUAAUAAUAAAAAUCUUAAUUUAAAAACUAUAUUUUGUCUUCAGUUGUGUUUUCUUUGACUAAUAUUUAAAUCUAUUUAAUGAUCUGAAACAUUUAAGAGAGACAAACAUGCAAAACAAAAAUAAGAAAUCAGGAAGGGGGAAAACACUUUUUCACACCACUGUAUAUAAGACCUUACAGAUCUAUAUGUCAGGGUUUUUACUGCU
Molecule: non-coding RNA, 553 nt
Organism: Xyrichtys novacula (pearly razorfish)
Lineage: Eukaryota; Metazoa; Chordata; Actinopteri; Labriformes; Labridae
Source: the annotation of a GenBank genome assembly